UUUCAUUUUUGUGGAAAAAAGUCAGGGAAACUGUAAGUGUCACAUGACCUUAAAAGGUGUCUCUUGUUCUAUUGUUGAGACAAGUUUUUGUUUACAUGUUGAAAGUGACAGCAUCUGUUACAUCAGUGCAUGUCAAUAGUGAGUACCGUCGAUGACCUUUUUUUGUGGUGACCCUUUUCUUUCGAGUGUGAAAUUUUGUGAGCUAUAUGGGCUAAAAGUGCCAAGUGAAAGGAUUUAUUAUAUAUAUAAAUGUAGAGCAAGAAAAAACUAAACAACACCAAAUUUUUCGAGGAAAAUUUUGACCAAAAGGAUUUUAUGGCAAGCGAGAACAAAAACAUAUAAAGACGAGAAUAAGAAAAUUCCUAAACAAAAAUUCUGAUCGAAGAUUCUCUCGAUGCUCCUGAAGGUUCUUUUUGAAGAUCCGUUGAAUUCUUGCGUGAUGUCUUGGAGAUUCGCCGAGGUUCUGAAUUCCAGGAAAGUCCCUCGGAGCCGAAACUUCUUCAACCAAUUCGGUGAUCCAGUCAUGAAGGUCAUUGAAUCUCCAGGAUAACUUUUGAAUGAAGCUUGCGGUUAUUGAGGCACACUUGGUGGCUCAUUCCAACCGUUAACAAUCUUGGUGCAAUUAAAAGCAAUAACACCCAUUGCUACCGCGAGUAAAACCACCCAAAACCCUGGUAGAAGAUUGCAGUUUGUCACUAUGGAAUUUCGGAUUUAAUUUGACAGGAAAGAUUUUCACAAGUUGGUAAGAUACCUCUUGGUUUUUUUACAUAACUUCAAAUGUACCAGAGGGCCAGAAACUACUCAAUUCGCCCUUAGAGCACUGAACGUCUUCGGUGUAGUUUAGAAACAUCCACAUUUAAAAAAAAAAUUAUUGUAGAAAAGAGCAAUAUA
Belonocnema kinseyi is the source of this 891-nucleotide long non-coding RNA. RefSeq lists it as uncharacterized. The record is from RefSeq and is a predicted model, not a curated record. NCBI's taxonomy places the organism in Eukaryota, Metazoa, Arthropoda, Insecta, Hymenoptera, Cynipidae. The transcript is spliced from 3 exons.